Molecule: ribosomal RNA, 253 nt
Filed under: uncultured bacterium
Lineage: Bacteria
Description: partial 16S ribosomal RNA
Rfam family: Bacterial small subunit ribosomal RNA
Source: RNAcentral
UACGGAGGGUGCAAACGUUGCUCGGAAUUACUGGGCGUAAAGGGCGCGUAGGCGGCCUGCUAAGUCGAACGUGAAAUCCCUGGGCUCAACCCAGGAACUGCGUCCGAUACUGGUUGGCUUGAAUCCGGGAGAGGGACGUGGAAUUCCAGGUGUAGCGGUGAAAUGCGUAGAUAUCGGAAGGAACACCAGUGGCGAAAGCGGCUUCCUGGUCCAGCAUCGACGUUCAGGCACGAAAGCGUGGGGAGCAAACAGG